UAUAUAAUUUUGUCUCUUUUUUUAAAAAAAGAACCUUACUAUUGUUAAUUUAUAACAUAGUAGACAGAAGUAGGAUAAACUAUAACUUAAAUAAUAUACUUCUAAAUUUAAAUUGAUGUGUAUCCAUAUAAAUUAGUCUAUCUAAAACAUGUUGAAUGAAAAUGGCACAUUACAAAGACAUACAUAGAACAUUUUUGUUGAAUUCAAAAACCUAAAACAUUGGCAUAUACUAUUUAUGAACACUUACACGAGUAAAAAUUAAAACAUGCCUGAUAUGUCCGGCACAUAAUAGGUGCUCAGGAAAUAUUUGUUGAGUGAAUAAAUGAUACUGAGAAUAUAACCUGAUAAUGUAGGAUAGUUCUUAGCCUAAAUAUUUAAAACAUAAGAAUUGGUGGUCUUAAAAAUAAUAUUUAUUUUCAUAUCUUUUAGAUAUGGGUAAGUGUCACCUUACCAAAGGCAAACAGGCUCUAGAGAUUCGAAGUAGUUUAUCUGAGAAGAGAGCACUUACUGAUCCAAUACAGGGAACAGAAUAUUCUGCUGAAUCUCUUGUGCGGAAUCUACAGUGGGCCAAGGCUCAUGAACUUCCAGAAAGUAUGUGUCUUAAGUUUGACUGUGGUGUUCAGAUUCAAUUAGGAUUUGCAGCUGAGUUUUCCAAUGUCAUGAUCAUCUAUACAAGUAUAGUUUACAAACCACCGGAGAUAAUAAUGUGUGAUGCCUAUGUUACCGAUUUUCCACUUGAUCUAGAUAUUGAUCCAAAAGAUGCAAAUAAAGGCACACCUGAAGAAACUGGCAGCUACUUGGUAUCAAAGGAUCUUCCCAAGCAUUGCCUCUAUACCAGACUCAGUUCACUGCAAAAAUUAAAGG
RNAcentral lists this small RNA (864 nucleotides) under Pan troglodytes (chimpanzee). Its description in RNAcentral is "retained intron". Lineage: Eukaryota; Metazoa; Chordata; Mammalia; Primates; Hominidae. The record is from RNAcentral.